AUUGAACGCUGGCGGCAGGCUUAACACAUGCAAGUCGAACGAUGAAACUCUAGCUUGCUAGAGAAGAUUAGUGGCGGACGGGUGAGUAACAUUUAGGAAUCUGCCUAGUAGUGGGGAUAGCUCGGGGAAACUCGAAUUAAUACCGCAUACGACCUACGGGUGAAAGGGGGCGCAAGCUCUUGCUAUUAGAUGAGCCUAAAUCAGAUUAGCUAGUUGGUGGGGUAAAGGCCCACCAAGGCGACGAUCUGUAACUGGUCUGAGAGGAUGAUCAGUCACACCGGAACUGAGACACGGUCCGGACUCCUACGGGAGGCAGCAGUGGGGAAUAUUGGACAAUGGGGGCAACCCUGAUCCAGCCAUGCCGCGUGUGUGAAGAAGGCCUUUUGGUUGUAAAGCACUUUAAGCAGGGAGGAGAGGCUAAUGGUUAAUACCCAUUAGAUUAGACGUUACCUGCAGAAUAAGCACCGGCUAACUCUGUGCCAGCAGCCGCGGUAAUACAGAGGGUGCGAGCGUUAAUCGGAAUUACUGGGCGUAAAGCGAGUGUAGGUGGCUCAUUAAGUCACAUGUGAAAUCCCCGGGCUUAACCUGGGAACUGCAUGUGAUACUGGUGGUGCUAGAAUAUGUGAGAGGGAAGUAGAAUUCCAGGUGUAGCGGUGAAAUGCGUAGAGAUCUGGAGGAAUACCGAUGGCGAAGGCAGCUUCCUGGCAUAAUAUUGACACUGAGAUUCGAAAGCGUGGGUAGCAAACAGGAUUAGAUACCCUGGUAGUCCACGCCGUAAACGAUGUCUACUAGCCGUUGGGGUCCUUGAGACUUUAGUGGCGCAGUUAACGCGAUAAGUAGACCGCCUGGGGAGUACGGCCGCAAGGUUAAAACUCAAAUGAAUUGACGGGGGCCCGCACAAGCGGUGGAGCAUGUGGUUUAAUUCGAUGCAACGCGAAGAACCUUACCUGGUCUUGACAUAGUGAGAAUCCUGCAGAGAUGCGGGAGUGCCUUCGGGAAUUCACAUACAGGUGCUGCAUGGCUGUCGUCAGCUCGUGUCGUGAGAUGUUGGGUUAAGUCCCGCAACGAGCGCAACCCUUUUCCUUAUUUGCCAGCGGGUUAAGCCGGGAACUUUAAGGAUACUGCCAGUGACAAACUGGAGGAAGGCGGGGACGACGUCAAGUCAUCAUGGCCCUUACGACCAGGGCUACACACGUGCUACAAUGGUAGGUACAGAGGGUUGCUACACAGCGAUGUGAUGCUAAUCUCAAAAAGCCUAUCGUAGUCCGGAUUGGAGUCUGCAACUCGACUCCAUGAAGUCGGAAUCGCUAGUAAUCGCAGAUCAGAAUGCUGCGGUGAAUACGUUCCCGGGCCU
RNAcentral lists this ribosomal RNA (1354 nucleotides) under uncultured bacterium. Its description in RNAcentral is "bacterial SSU rRNA". It matches the Rfam family "Bacterial small subunit ribosomal RNA", at positions 28 to 1381 of the family's 1533-position model. The record is from RNAcentral.